GAAAUGCGAUAAGUAAUGUGAAUUGCAGAAUUCAGUGAAUCAUCGAAUCUUUGAACGCACAUUGCGCCCUUCGGUAUCCCGGAGGGCAUGCCUGUUCGAGCGUCAUUGCAAUCCUUCAAGCGUAGCUUGGUAUUGGGCUCUCGCCCCCCUCCCGAGGAGGGCGGGCCCGAAAGUCAGUGGCGGCCCCGGGGCCACUUCGAGCGUAGUAAUAACCACUCCCCGCUCUGGAGGUGCCGUGCCGGGCCCGGCCAGUCAACCCCAUCUUCUCAAUGAUUGACCUCGGAUCAGGUAGGGAUACCCGCUGAACUUAA
This 311-nucleotide unclassified non-coding RNA is filed under the name uncultured Lecanoromycetes. RNAcentral describes it as "sequence contains ITS1". The stretch from base 1 to 105 matches the Rfam family "5.8S ribosomal RNA", at positions 50 to 154 of the family's 154-position model. Lineage: Eukaryota; Fungi; Ascomycota; Lecanoromycetes. The record is from RNAcentral.